RNAcentral lists this ribosomal RNA (1468 nucleotides) under uncultured Bordetella sp. RNAcentral describes it as "partial 16S-23S ribosomal RNA intergenic spacer". It matches the Rfam family "Bacterial small subunit ribosomal RNA". The record is from RNAcentral. Lineage: Bacteria; Pseudomonadati; Pseudomonadota; Betaproteobacteria; Burkholderiales; Alcaligenaceae.
GGUUCGAUUAUGGCUCAGAUUGAACGCCAGGAUGCUUUACACAUGCAAGUCGAACGGCAGCACGGACUUCGGUCUGGUGGCGAGUGGCGAACGGGUGAGUAAUGUAUCGGAACGUGCCUAGUAGCGGGGGAUAACUACGCGAAAGCGUGCGCUAAUACCGCAUACGUUCCUCGGGGGAAAGCGGGGACCUUCGGGCCUCGCACUAUUAGGAGCGGCCGAUAUCGGAUUAGCUAUUGGUGGGGUAACGGCUCACCAAGGCGACGAUCCGGUUUGAGGACGACCAGCCACACUGGGACUGAGACACGGCCCAGACUCCUACGGGAGGCAGCAGUGGGGAAUUCUGACAAUGGGGAAACCCUGGAUCCAGCCAUCUCAAGUGUGCGAUGAAGGCCUUCGUUGUAAAGCACUUUUGGCAGGAAAGAAACGGUACGUGGAUAAUACCCCGUGCAACUGACGGUACCUGCAGAAUAAGCACCGGCUAACUACGUGCCAGCAGCCGCGGUAAUACGUAGGGUGCAAGCGUUAAUCGGAAUUACUGGGCGUAAAGCGUGCGCAGGCGGUUCGGAAAGAAAGAUGUGAAAUCCCAGAGCUUAACUUUGGAACUGCAUUUUUAACUACCGAGUAGAGUGUGUCAGAGGGAGGUGGAAUUCCGCGUGUAGCAGUGAAAUGCAGAUAUGCGGAGGAACACCGAUGGCGAAGGCAGCCUGGGAUAACACUGACGCCUGCGCACGAAAGCGUGGGGAGCAAACAGGAUUAGAUACCCUGGUAGUUCACGCCCUAAACGAUGUCAACUAGCUGCUAGCCCCUGGCCUCGGUAGCGCGGCUGGUCGCGGUGAAGUUGACCGCCUCCGGGGAGUACGUCGCAAGAUUAAAACUCAAAGGAAUUGACGGGGACUCCGCACAAGCGGUGGAUGAUGUGGAUUAAUUGAUGCACGCGAAAAACCUUACCUACCCUUGACAUGUCUGGAAUCCCGAAAGAGAUUUGGGAGUGCUCGCAAGAGAACCGGAACACAGGUGCUGCAUGCAUGUCGUCAGCUCGUGUCGUGAGAUGUUGGGUUAAGUCCCGCAACGAGCGCAACCCUUGUCAUUAGUUGCUACGAAAGGGCACUCUAAUGAGAUCAAGUAUGACAAACCGGAGGAAGGUGGGGAUGACGUCAAGUCCUCAUGGCCCUUAUGGGUAGGGUCCACACGUCAUACAAUGGUCGGGACAGAGGGUCGCCAACCGCGAGGGGGAGCCAAUCCCAGAAACCCGAUCGGUGUCCGGGAUCGCAGUCUGCAACUCUCGACUGCGUGAAGUCGGAAUCGCUAGUAAUCGCGGAUCAGCAUGUCGCGGUGAAUACGUUCCCGGGUCUUGCAGAGCACACCGCCCGUCACACCAUGGGAGUGGGUUUUACCAGAAGAAGAACAACGUAAGGAGGCGCUAUCACUACGGUAGAUUCAUGACUGGGGUGAAGUCAGAACAAGGUAG